AGCAGCCGCGGUAAUUCCAGCUCCAAUAGCGUAUAUUAAAGUUGUUGCAGUUAAAAAGCUCGUAGUUGAAUUUCGGGGUUAGUAGAUUGGUCAUGCCUCUGGUAUGCACUGGUCUCACUGAUUCCUCCUUCCUGAUGAGCCGUAAUGCCAUUAAUUUGGUGUUGCGGGGAAUUUGGACUGUUACUUUGAAAAAAUUAGAGUGUUUAAAGCAAGCUAACGCUUGAAUACAUUAGCAUGGAAUAAUGAAAUAGGACGUUCGAUCCUAUUUUGUUGGUUUCUAGGAUUGACGUAAUGAUUAAUAGGGAUAGUUGGGGGCAUUAGUAUUCAAUUGUCAGAGGUGAAAUUCUUGGAUUUAUUGAAGACUAACUACUGCGAAAGCAUUUGCCAAGGAUGUUUUCAUUAAUCAAGAACGAAAGUUAGGGGAUCGAAGACGAUCAGAUACCGUCGUAGUCUUAACCAUAAACUAUGCC
This 470-nucleotide ribosomal RNA is filed under the name uncultured Glomus. RNAcentral's name for it is "SSU rRNA". It matches the Rfam family "Eukaryotic small subunit ribosomal RNA", at positions 569 to 1043 of the family's 1831-position model. Lineage: Eukaryota; Fungi; Glomeromycota; Glomeromycetes; Glomerales; Glomeraceae. The record is from RNAcentral.